This 549-nucleotide long non-coding RNA is filed under the name Homo sapiens (human). RNAcentral's name for it is "HSALNT0307734". Lineage: Eukaryota; Metazoa; Chordata; Mammalia; Primates; Hominidae. The record is from RNAcentral.
AGAAUGAUAUGGCUGUACCAAAUAAGAAAAUGUGUUUAAGGAAGAAACACCAACAUGUACAGGGCUUAUCAAAAAUAGUGAUGACGUACAUCUUGCCAAACCUAUUGCAACCUCCCCUUAGAUGUUAAUAUUAUUGCUGGAAGUUGGACUUUUCAUAGAACAUGUGAGAGAUUAGCAAGAACAUGUGAAAUGUUUUCAACUGGGAAGUCGGAUACAGAAGCAUCAUCCACAGUUUUUAUUGGGCCGAGUCAAAUAGGGGGCCUCUACCUGGUUGAAUUAUUAAGGGAUAAUUGAUCAUGUCUGUAACUUGCUCUCAAAUGGUUCAGCCAAAUGUCAGAAAUGUCAGAGAGACAGAGAGAAGGAGACAGGAGGAAGGGAGAGAGAAAGAGAAAAAGAGAAGAUAUAGUAAAGGUGGCAAAAUGAUGAAAAUUGGCAAAUGUACGUAAAGGCAUACAGAACUUCGAUGAACGAUUCUUGCAACCUUUAUAUAAUUCUGAAGGCUUUUAAAAAAAUGGCAAGCUUUCAAAUAAAAGCAAUUUAGGAAUUGUU